GUAGGUGGCAAGCGUUGUCCGGAAUUAUUGGGCGUAAAGCGCGCGCAGGCGGUCCUUUAAGUCUGAUGUGAAAGCCCACGGCUCAACCGUGGAGGGUCAUUGGAAACUGGGGGACUUGAGUACAGAAGAGGAAAGCGGAAUUCCAAGUGUAGCGGUGAAAUGCGUAGAGAUUUGGAGGAACACCAGUGGCGAAGGCGGCUUUUCUGGUCUGUAACUGACGCUGAGGCGCGAAAGCGUGGGGAGCAAACAGGGAUUAGAUACCCUGGUAGUCCACGCCGUAAACGAUGAGUGCUAAGUGUUAGGGGGUUUCCGCCCCCUUAGUGCUGCAGCUAACGCAUUAAGCACUCCGCCUGGGGAGUACGCCGCAAGGCUG
RNAcentral lists this ribosomal RNA (373 nucleotides) under uncultured organism. RNAcentral's name for it is "partial 16S ribosomal RNA". It matches the Rfam family "Bacterial small subunit ribosomal RNA", at positions 527 to 896 of the family's 1533-position model. The record is from RNAcentral.